AUUUAACGAGAGUUUGAUCCUGGCUCAGGAUGAACGCUGGCGGCGUGCUUAACACAUGCAAGUCGAGCGAAGCACUUA
Molecule: ribosomal RNA, 78 nt
Filed under: Dorea longicatena
Lineage: Bacteria; Bacillati; Bacillota; Clostridia; Lachnospirales; Lachnospiraceae
Description: partial 16S ribosomal RNA
Rfam family: Bacterial small subunit ribosomal RNA
Source: RNAcentral